UUAGUAUUUUGGUUCAUAGAGGGCACCAACAAAAGCCGACCAGCCCUGCAAUUGGCUGUUAAGAAUUUUGACUUUUGCUCUAAGCUCCACCUCCUGUCCGGAAACUGGCUUCAUUCGAGAUAGCCGAUUCCAACCAUAAGUUCCCCCAACAUACUAAUACACCAUGGUUGAAGUUUGAAGUUGAGAGUCUGCACUUCACGGACUCAGCACUCAGCAGACGACAAAAUAUUUUUUGAGAAACAUGUAGAGUUUCCAAUUUCGUCUGCUACAGCCUCGACGUAGCAGACGUCCCGAUUUUUUGGAUAUUUGUGUUUUUCUGGUUUGUUUUCAACAGUAGUCUUGGAUUUAUCUCGUUUGCGAGCGAAUCUGGACUCUGCAGAAUAUCUUUUUUUCUAUAAUUAUCAACUUCUUUUUCUAUCUUUUUCUCGUUUGUUCCUUCGAUCCACUGUCUGUGAAUAAUAUUCCCCCCCCUUCCAGCUGAUCUGUCAGUGGCCUGACUGAUCAGUUUUUCUUUUCUUCUCUCUCUCUAUCACACCUUUCUGCUGCCUUCUUAUUAGCAUAUAUCAGUUGGCUUAAUUGUGUUUUUUGUUUCUCUCCCUAUUAGUAGACUCUCUUGUGCUCGUUCAUCAGUUAUAAAGGAAAAUAGUGUUAUAACCCUGUUUCAAUCGUAAGUUGCGAAGUUCUAUUUUCAAAUUUUUUAUAAACAGGAAGUGUGUGGUGAAAUUCCACCCCGUCCGGUCUGGUUCUAAGCAUAACUGGAAAAGGCUUGGUCAACUAGUUUAUUGUUCUAAAGAGCUAAGAUCUCCGGUGAUCUUGCUCCUCCUCCCUGAGCGAGUGGCAAGGCCAGCUUCUCAGUCCGUUCUCGUGUCGUGGGCUUCUGAGGAAGCGCCGGAAACCUUCUGGUGGAGACCUUGGGGGGAUUGAGUACUGGUCACUCUGCUCACGCUUGGGUUGAGGGGUAAGUGAACUGGGGAUAGUUUUAAUCUCUUCGACGCUGUACUCGUCUUGCCUGUCCUUCCCAGUCGUAGAGGAUCGUCCAUCUCUUUCUUUCUUUCUUUCUCGCUACUUGAUUCCCUUUUUAUAAGGACCCGGAUCUUAACUGCUAAUCACUAACCUUCUCCACUUCCCUCAGAUUGAUGGGAGAUGAUGAUGAUCCAGGCGGAGAUGCCUCCGUCUGGGGUCCUACUUUCCUAGCACUCAAUAACACCACCCCGUCUCAAAGUCAAUCUACCUCCUGCAAAUCUUGCACUCUUCCGUUUGUCCUGAUAGAUUCUAGAUACAAAUAUUGCGUGGAUUGUAAAGCCACAAUGUUGUCCAGACCGAAAGCGUCCGCGACAAAGAGAGAUAGCUCUGCAGCUCUGUUUUUAAGAUACUAAUUUGCCCAAACAGCAAAAAGAUGAUAAAGAUGAUAACUUCCCCUUCCAAUUUGACAAAGCUUUCGGAAUGGACGUCGAUUUAUUCCUUGAUCUAACCUCAGCAGAGCAAACGCUCAAAUUGAAAUCCUUUUUUGCCAAAUUAGAAGAAGAAGCAGUCUGUGUCAAAUCAGAAAAGACUUUAAUGACAAGGAAAAUCGUGAAGCUUGAAAAAGUAAUCGAAAAUAGAGCCACUCUCCAAAGCGAAUUAAACCUAGCCAAAAAAGAUCUUUUAACUGCCAAACUAUCUCUAGCUGACAAAGACAUCCGGCUUUUUGAGCUGCAAUCGUCUGUCAAAUCAGCUAUGACUCCGUCUUUGAUCCCACCCCAUUCAGCUUCAAACCCUCCAACUAGCAAUCCCUCGGCUCCGAAAGAUACCCGCCUGUAUGCGGAGGUACCUAAAAAACCAGUUUUGAUCGCUCAUAUAGGAGGUAGCAACCGUCUGCCGAUGAACGAAAUUUCAAACGACAAAAUCGACAAUUUAUUUGAUCUUGAUGGUGACGGUCCUGUUGUCCAAAACAUAAAGAAAAUCGAUGGACGAGUAAUUUUGUCUUUUUUAGACGUGGCCUCUCGCGACAAAGCCCAAGAUCUCUUCAAUAAUAACUCAGCCCAAAACGUGUUUCGUUCUGUAUCGGUCCCUCAAAAACAGUAUCCUGCUCUGGUCAGGUUUCGAGAACUACAGGGAAUCUCUCAUCUAAAAAGCACUGAAAACAAGGCUGCUCGAGUUGCGCAAGAGAACGCUCUUAAACGUAGGCUUGUUGAACAAAAUCCUGGCCUAAGGGGUCAUUUAGAGUCAGUGCGAGUCCACCAACGCCCAAACAGCAACUCUUUCCUUGUCAGAAUUGCUUUCACCUCCAAGCCCUUCUGUGAGCAUCUGAUAAAAAGUGGUAGAAUCCUCCUGGAUGGCGUUACUCAUGCGGUUGUCGAGUCUGACCCAAGAAAAGAGGUGCGGCACUGCUCAAAGUGCCAAAAUUAUGGACAUAUCCAUCAUUUUUGUAAUUCCGCUAUCUUAGUUUGUGGGAAAUGCUCGCAGAACCAUGCGACUCAUACCUGUACAUCAUUCCCCAAAGACUUCAAAUGUGCAAAUUGUCAGCAAAACCAUCAAGUUGGCUCAAACGCGUGUCCUGCUCUGGCCAAGGCCGUAGCUCAAUGCCUCGCCUACAUUUCCACCAAGUGAACAUGUCAGUCGCCCAUCACAACAUCAGCAAAGCGUCUGCCCCACUCAAGUGUUUUCAGAUCAAUCUGAGGCACGCUGCGCUGCGCUUAAUCUCUCGCAAUUGAUACUGGAUCUUGACAUUGAUGUGAUUUUAAUUCAAGAGCCGUAUGCAGCUAUGUCCCCCCUGUCUUCUUCGUUUGAGUCUAAAUUCGUUCCUCUUGGCUACUCUUCUUUCCAGUCUUCCGAGCAUGCUUUCGGCGCCCUGAUUAUUGCCAAAAGUUCUCUUAACGUUUCGCUCUGCAAUUUUGGUCUAUCAAAUAAUUGUUGUGGCAUCAAGCUGUCGAACGAUCUUUUCUUUUUUUCUAUUUUCUGCAGACCGUCUCUGGUAUCGAUUCCUUUACACCUCGAGUCAAUUUUUAAUUCUAUUCCGCCGGCCGUAAAAAACACGCCUUUUUCGGCAUUGAUUGCAACGCCAAAAGUCAGGACUGGAACAGCGUUCGCUCUGACCACAUCGGCGUUGACCUAGAGCUCUGUUUCCUAAAUAACGCUCUCUCUGUUUCAAAUGUGAAUCUUAACCUACUUUCACACAAGACGUCCAACACGUCCUCUGUUGACGUCACUCUGGCUGGGGACUCCGUCUCCCUCAAUUGUUGACAAUACCCGGCCUAUCCGUCUCUUUCGGACCACCCUUUUAUCUCUUUCCGUGUGCCCUUUGGUUGUCGUGUUGCCCCGCCUGCACGCACUGAGGUCCGUCUUCCGUCUCCUCCCAACUGCAACAUGCCUCUUUUUCUCUCAAACCUUGAAGCCUCCCUCGGUACCAUGGUCAUCCCCAGUACUAUACAGACGUUUACUUCUCCUCAUGAUAUCGAAGCAUUCAUUGCAAAUUUGACUGACUAUCAAGUCGGCUGCUCUGAAAAGUAAACUCCCAUUUCAUCCCUCCCGAGCCCCUGCUAGGAUGCCCUGGUGGUCCGAUAAUAUGUGGUCUCUGCGUAAAAAGCUGAGAGACGCCUACAAACUUAGUCGUGAGUCUCCCUCUCAAGGGCAUAGAGACGCGUACAGUCACCUCAAAGCCGAGUAUCAAAGGACCCUCAGAGCAGGAAAAAAAGAAAGCUGGAAAUCCUUCUGCUCCAAUAACCUAAACGGAGAUAGUUUUGGAGAGUUAAAAAAGUUGACGUUAUCCACCCCAGUUAACAACCAUCCUUCAGAACUACUAAUUGAUGAGGUUUCCAUUACUGACCCAAAAGACAUCCUUUCUGCCUUCAGCUCGCAUUUCUUCCCGACUAACCCUCCAGAUGAAUCAUUUCACAAAUCCGCUCUGCUCUCCUCAACUACCUUCUGCGAAGCACCUCUCUCCUCUACGGAAUAUUUCGUCCUCCCUUCCGAAGUUAAGCAGGCCUUCGAUAGUGUGCGUCUCUCUAAGUCCGCUGGCUCGGAUGGAAUCUCGUCCAUCUGGCUAAACCAUUCCUUCGAUUUAAUCAAAUCCCAUUUAGCGGCCCUCUUCUCGGUUUGCUUCAACCUCGGCUACUUUCCUAAAUGCUGGAAAACCGCCUCUAUCGUCAUUCUUAAAAAAGACAAUAAACCGAACUACCUUCACCCAAACUGUUUCAGACCAAUCGGUAUAAUCAACAGCCUCUCUAAACUGUUUGAGAAAAUCAUUCUUGCUAAACUUAAGGCUUUGGCUGAUACGCACUCUUGGUUUAGCCCCAGUCAGCAUGGUUUCAGGGCAGGUCUAUCCACAGAAACGGCCUCCCUCUCUCUUAUUAAGUUAAUCGAAGGCAACAAAAAAAAGAUGGUCACUUGUUGUGCUUUUUUUAGACAUUAAGUCAGCUUUUGACGCGGCCUGGCACCCAGCCAUUCUGAACAGCCUAAUUAAAAAAGGCUGCCCCCAGUUCUUAGUAAAAAUUCUGGGUGACUUCCUCAGCUCUCGCUCAAGCAUUUUGAAAAACGUUUCGGCCUCCUUCACUGCCAACACUAAGCUCGGUUGUCCACAAGGCAGUGUCCUCUCGCCGUUUCUUUGAAACAUUCUUAUAGAGGAACUGCUAAGCCUUAGUUUCCCUUUUCUCUUCUUUAUUUCGGCGUAUGCCGAUGACAUUGUUCUCUGUGCUAUGGACAAAGACUUUGAUACUGCUCUUGCCAACCUUCAAGCAAUGAGCGAUUCCGCUGUAGCAUGGGGUCGUUCGGUCAAACUAACUUUCAACGGCUUAAAAUUCGUCUUCAUGGUCUUCUCCUCUAAACGAACCCUGCCGUCAUUGCCCUUGAAGGUUGACAACAUAUGUGUUGCUCGUUCCCACUCAUGCCUGUACCUUGGUCUAACCAUCGAUGACAAACUCAGCUGGAACACCCACAUAUCUAACAAAUGCGCUGCGGAAGCGUGUAAUUGCAGCCCUGAAAUCCGCCCAACGCCCUUUUGCGCUGACCAUUGGCCGACUGUUCAAAUCCACGUCUACUGACGCGGCCCUCAUUCUCGCCAACAUCCUCCCUCUGCACCUCAAAAUCAUCGAAAUGGUUCUAAAGAGAUCCAUCUCUACCCUAGCUGCUCUUCUGCCACCCUCGUCGUUACAAGUUGCUGGCGGUAUCUCUGCCAAAAUUCUGGCGUCUGAAGCUCCAGCAGGCAUACCCCUUGGUCUGCACAGGAAAAGAGUGAUGCGGUCAGAAAUGCUUUCCCUUUGGAACGCAGCCUGGCAAAAUGCAAACACGGGUGCCCAGACCCGCUUGUUCUUUCCCUCAGUGGAAUCCGCCUUGAUUUUGUCCUCUUCUAAAUUACCUUUCUUUCUCUGCAGCUUUCUCUCGGGCCACUGCGGUCUAAACAAUUUUCUUUUUAAAAUCAAAAGGUCCCCGUCACCGCUCUGUCCCUGCCUGUCAGGGGAAGUGGAAAACGCAGCGCACAUUUUAUUUGUCUGUGUAAGCCACGUCGCACACCGAGUACGCCUUAUUUCUUCUGCGGCUGAGCUAAAGCUUUCUUGGCCAGUCCCACUAGACGCCUUCUCCCAAUCGAAAACUCUAUGGUCUGCGUUUGUCAAAUUCCUAUGUUCCAUCAAAAGACUAUAACCGCCAUUACCUUUCCCAUCUAUUUAUAUUUUAUUCUGUUCUCUUAGUUGCGUUUUGGCCGCUCCUUUUGUUUCGCAUGAGUCCCUCGUGCCCUAAUUUCUGGCGUAUUCGACCCUGAUGUCAUCCUCUGGCUCUAGCGGGCGCCUUAACCGGACCGUGGCCGUAAGAGUCGUCCGUUGCUUCGCGGUGCUGGUGACAUCCAAAUCAGCAUCUCGUCGCUCCGGACCAUCUGGGGGGUCGACAGCGGCAGUCUUUUUACUCAGUCUUUCCCAUCUAUUUAUAUUUUAUUCUGUUCUCUUAGUUGCAUUUUGGCCGCUCCUUUUGUUUCGCAUGAGUCCCUCGUGCCCUAAUUUCUGGCGUAUUCGACCCUGCUGUCAUCCUCUGGCUCUAGCGGGCGCCUUAACCGGACCGUGGCCGUAAGAGUCGUCCGUUGCUUCGCGGUGCUGGUGACAUCCAAAUCAGCAUCUUGUCGCUCCGGACCAUCUGGGGGGUCGACAGCGGCAGUCUUUUUAGUCUUUUCCUCAGUCUGACAGCCGGAAUGCUCUCCCCUGCCUAAUAAUAUCGCGUGCUGCUCCGCUCCACUCUUUCCAGAAUUCCAGUUCUCCUUUCGAACUUCUGCCUAAUUUUUCUUCUCGGUUCCCUCUCUCUUCUUCCAUCCUCCUCUUUUUCCUUAUUUUAUCCCUACUUCAUAAUAAUUUGACUUUUGUAUUUAACCAUGCCUAUGACAAUAAAUUGGUAACAUUCGCCUUCGGCGAAUACACACCUCAUUUUUAAAAAAUGUACAGUUUGGCAAUGCUGCGUGAAGUGCAAUAGCAACUUUGACAGUUUGAGUACUUCACGUGUGAAGUGCAAUAGGCGCGACCCGACCCGGAUAUAUGAGCAUAAUAUUUAUUAUUCAGCUUUCAGAAAUGAUAAAAGAGAAAUCUCUUCGAAUCGGUUUCAUAGGUUGUGGAAAGAUGGCUCAAGCUUUAGCUAAAGGAUUUAUUGCAUCUGGAAUCACUAGAUCAGAAAAUAUUAUUGGAAGUUCUCCUCGAAUAGAUUCCACAUUCAUAGAGGAAUUUGCU
This is an RNA transcript of Daphnia pulex (common water flea), 6680 nucleotides long. It is a transcript of the gene named pyrroline-5-carboxylate reductase 3-like, with no coding region annotated. The record is from RefSeq and is a predicted model, not a curated record. The transcript is spliced from 3 exons. NCBI's taxonomy places the organism in Eukaryota, Metazoa, Arthropoda, Branchiopoda, Diplostraca, Daphniidae.